CGGACACGCGGGGACUUGCUGACUGCCACCCCCGCCCUCUUGGGCCCGCCGUGGCCCCCCAGGUACGGUCCCGGCCUGUCGGCCGGCUUCUGCGCCCUACGGAGGCCCCUGCACCCGGAGAAGCGAGGCGGAGGGAGGGGUCGCGCACGCUUUACUCCCGGAGAAGGGGGAAACUCUCGAGGAUGGGAGAUUAUCAGUGUUGGGAAAUCGUUGACAAAAGUGAUCGUUGAGGGCAUUGCCAGCCCCGUCAUCAAAGGUGGAAGAGCAGAUGUCACUGUUAAAGUAGCAAGAGACAACCUGGUCUUCACUGUAGCUUCUCAUACCUGCAUCAUUACCUUCUUGAUGUCAUCGAACUUGGUUGCUUUCUCCAGAUGUCAGGUCAGACCCAUGAUGGAUGCACUGGCGGUGGGAACUCAAAAGGCCAUGCCAGUGAACAUGCUAUUCAGCUCAGGAUGACCUUGGCCACUGCCUUGGCAGCACCAUUAGAUGCAAGGAUUAUAUUCUGGACAGCCCUGCAGCUGUCACGCUACCAUUUCCUGGAGGGGCCAUCGCUAGUCGUCUAGGUGGCAGUGAUGGCAUGGACCUGUGGUCAGUAAUCUCUCCAUGAUGCCAUAGUUGACAUGGAUGACCUGACCAGCGGAGCCAGACAGUUUCUUGUGCAAGAAGCAGGUGAGCCCCAGCCUUCUCCAAGGUCAUGAAGACACCAGUGGACUCCACAACAUUAUCAGCACCAGCAUCACCCCAUUUGAUGUUGAUGGGUCUCACUUCUGGAAGAUGGAGAAGGGCAUCCCAUUGAUGACAAGCUUCCCAAUCUCAGCCUUGGCAGUGCCUUUGAACUUGCCAUGGGUGAAAACAUACUGGAACUUACAGGCCAUGUAGUUAACGUCAAUGAAGAGGUCAUUGACAGUGACAGUCCCCAUUUUGCCAGAGUUAAAAGCAGCCCUGGUGACCAGGUACCCAAUACGGGCCAAUCUGUUUACUCCAACUGUUACCAUCAUAUCUCAGGGAUGCAGCUGUCUGUCAGAUGGAGAGGAGCAGAGUCUGGUGCUUGAGUUUUAUGACUCAGGGAUAAGAGAAGUAUAUUUGGUUUAAGAUCAUGGUGGCCUUGAGUGCCCCACUGAAAUGUCUACUUUUUUCUGUUGGGAAUGAGGAACCUUUGGAUUUUUUUUUUUUUUUUUUUUUUUUUGGAUUUUUUAAAAUAUGGAAAUGAUACUUUCAGAGCUUUUCCAUUAGGAAGAUUAUUCUACAAUGGUAUGUAAGAUAUAUACUGUUUACUUUUUUCUUUAUUAUAAAAGUUUUUUAAGUUAAUACUCAUAAAAAGUAAUAAAGCAUUAAAACAAAAUAGUCUGAAGUAACAAAUAAAUACACUGUUCUUUCAUGCCUUUUCCUUCCAGUCCUCCCUGAUUGUAGCCCUAGUCAUUUUUGGUGGGUAGCCUUCUAAAUUCAAGUACAAAAAUAUUUAAAACAUAGAUUUGUAUAUUUGUAAAAGUCUUCUGCAAAUAUUAUACUACACUUACAGUCCUGUGACUUGCUCUUUUUUUCCCUCCUGUAUAGAUAAUGCAUAUAAUUAAUAUGUCCCAAU
Dasypus novemcinctus (nine-banded armadillo) is the source of this 1582-nucleotide long non-coding RNA. The record is from Ensembl. NCBI's taxonomy places the organism in Eukaryota, Metazoa, Chordata, Mammalia, Cingulata, Dasypodidae.